Molecule: long non-coding RNA, 979 nt
Organism: Gossypium arboreum
Lineage: Eukaryota; Viridiplantae; Streptophyta; Magnoliopsida; Malvales; Malvaceae
Exons: 3
Source: RefSeq, a predicted model, not a curated record
GGAUUGGACCCAUAUGGCACCGAGCUGUUUCUGUUGAAAAAGAACUAUUUUUUCUCUUUUCCAUAGACGAAUUGCUGGAAAUGGUGGAACGUGAAAAUCGAUGAUUUUCCGUCUACGGAACAGCUUUGAGUUGGACAAGAUGGAGGACCUAAUAUGAGAUUCUACUAUGCACCAGAAUGAUAAACUGAGGAUUAUGAGUAAAAAUAAAAAGAUGAAGUUGUACAGAAAGGGCAGUUUAAAUAAAUUAUUACAUAAUUUGUAGCAAGGCUGCUUGAGCACCGGAUCAUCAUUUGGUGUUGGAGGAUCCUGACCGAAAAUCAUUUCGCAGCUCAUAUCAUCAAAAUCUGCAGUUAAAGUGGAUUACUGUUUCUGUUAACUGUUCUGAUGGAUUGGCUUCAUUCAUCUUUAUCAUGGCCACUUCUCAACUAAAAUGGAGUGUAAAUAGUAAUGAUCUUCUGCUUCUCAUGAAUGAUAGGUUCUGAAUGACUGUAUACUUACUUGGAACCAUGUUGAGUGGCAUUCCUAGGGAAUCCUUAAUAAAGGCUUGAGAUGGCAUCUUGCAUAGGUUGAUGCACAUUCCUACACAGUUGCUUUGCUCUAGGAACCUACAAAGAAAGCAGAUAUUAGAGGAUUACCAAGAUGAUCUAAGGGUGAUGCAAAGUUUAACAAUGAUUUUGAUAUUUCCGACGAGGAUGAUGAUGACGACGAUGACCAUCAUGAUAGCAAUGGACAAAAACAGGAGUCCACCACACAAUCAUUGGAACAGGUUAUUUACCGUAUGAGAGUUUCUUUAAAUUGGUGAGGUGGGUCUCCAUCUUGGAUUAGACCAUAGUGCUAAUUAUUGUACAUAAUUGAGAGGUUUGGUAUAAUUACCUGCACUUUUUCACAUACACUACAUUCUUUUCUCUUCUUCCGUUGAGCUCCGAUUCCCGAACCUUGUGGCAUUGAUUCCAUAAGAAUGUUAGAUUUCUUUCACAAA